UGAAAUUGCGCCAUCUUUGAAUACAUACUAUCCAAUCUCUCUACCCAAACCCACCUGACCCGUUUGGCCCAAUGACCCGUUCACCUCUCAUUAAAAUCCCAACCCAAAAGACCAUAUUCAUCAGAUCUUAGAGUUGACCAACUAUGUUCAUUCAUCUUCUCAAAAUAGGAGCACCAGAGAACACAAACCCCCUCCCCCCAUGGUCACCCCCUCAUCUGCACCUCACACAUAAUGUACUUGUUCACUCUCUCAUAUUCUCUCAUCUAUAUUCACGCCAUGUUACUCUCACUUACACCAUUUACAAGCACUCAAGGAAAAAGAGCCGAAAACUCAAAUAACCAGCUAAAAAUUAGAUUCUCAACUGCUAAAAACACUUAGCAAUAGUUAUACAUCUAGGAAAAUCUGAUAGUCACUGCAUGUUUGAAAUGAAAGAAGAAUUUCAGAUCUGGAAAAAUCUCUGAUUUAGCUUCAAGCUGUUAGAUCUUCGAAGCUGAUUUUCUGCAAUUGCGGGCCUUGUCGAACUUUUGUCGUUGCAUUGCUCGGAUUGUUUGAUAGAGUUCCAUCCUCCAACUGUGGCUGUUUCUGACUUUAUUUGGCUAGCUCUAUUUUAAUUUUUGUCGUUAAGCUAUAGAUUCUCUUGUAUUUCUGGGCUUUCAAAGUAGAUUCAACUGUGAUCUAUUGCUUGUUUGUUGCUGCUGCUUCAUUCCAUGGCUGCAACUGAUUCUUUGCCUCUAUUUUGUUAUUUUUAAGACCUUACCACUGUUGUAGAGGUAUCUGCUCUCGUCGUCUUCAUAUUUGACAUGCGAAUUUAUAUGGAUAGACAUAUUUUGUUUCCCCUGCGAAUCCAUGAUUGUUCCCUGAUUUGAGCUCAUGUUCCAUUAAAUUUUAGUUUGUAUGGGACCUGGGCAUAUGCCCGAAAUCGAAUUCCGAGGUCCCUAGCCUGAGUAAUGAAUUUUUCUGUAAAAUUGUUAAACUGAAGUUUUAAAGAAAUAAAU
This 995-nucleotide long non-coding RNA is filed under the name Nicotiana benthamiana. RNAcentral's name for it is "long non-coding RNA (NBEN_LNC007000)". The record is from RNAcentral. Lineage: Eukaryota; Viridiplantae; Streptophyta; Magnoliopsida; Solanales; Solanaceae.